GACGAACGCUGGCGGCGUGCUUAACACAUGCAAGUCGAACGAAGAGCGAUGGACGCUUGCUUCUAUCAAUCUUAGUGGCGAACGGGUGAGUAACGCGUAAUCAACCUGCCCUUCAGUGGGGGACAACAGUUGGAAACGACUGCUAAUACCGCAUACGAUCUAAUCUCGGCAUCGAGGAAAGAUGAAAGGUGGCCUCUAUUUAUAAGCUAUCACUGAAGGAGGUGAUUGCGUCUGAUUAGCUAGUUGGAGGGGUAACGGCCCACCAAGGCGAUGAUCAGUAGCCGGUCUGAGAGGAUGAACGGCCACAUUGGGACUGAGACACGGCCCAGACUCCUACGGGAGGCAGCAGGGGGGAAUCUUCCGCAAUGGACGAAAGUCUGACGGAGCAACGCCGCGUGAGUGAUGACGGCCUUCGGGUUGUAAAGCUCUGUUAAUCGGGACGAAAGGCCUUCUUGCGAACAGUUAGAAGGAUUGACGGUACCGGAAUAGAAAGCCACGGCUAACUACGUG
This 510-nucleotide ribosomal RNA is filed under the name uncultured bacterium. Its description in RNAcentral is "partial 16S ribosomal RNA". It matches the Rfam family "Bacterial small subunit ribosomal RNA", at positions 28 to 507 of the family's 1533-position model. The record is from RNAcentral.